This is a long non-coding RNA of Armigeres subalbatus, 1960 nucleotides long. RefSeq lists it as uncharacterized. The record is from RefSeq and is a predicted model, not a curated record. Lineage: Eukaryota; Metazoa; Arthropoda; Insecta; Diptera; Culicidae. The transcript is spliced from 6 exons.
UGUUACUUAGGUCCUUUUGAAAAGUUAAGCGAGAUUUCUAAUAUUUUUUCAACCGCUCCUCUACACUGGCGGAAAUAAAAUAUGAAAAUCCAUAAGUUAUGCCUUAUGAAACACCAGAAGUUCAUUUCAUGAUCGCUUCAUAAGGCUUCUAUGAAAAUCAUAAUCAUUAGUAUUAACAACAUAGAUAUGCCUUAUGAAUUCCAAUGUCUAUCCUUAUGAAUAAAAAUCAUAAGGUAGACUUAUGGAGCAAUAUGUGAUUUCAUGAGUUCAUCCACAGAAAAAUAUUACUGUCAUUUGUCAUUACGUGUUUGUAUCCUGACCGACCAUUUUUAAAAAAAAAUCGCUGAAUAAUAAUAAUAAAUGGUAUUCCAUACUGUUUUGGACUACUUCCUGAUAUCGGAUACAGGUAAGAAUCAAAUCAAGAAAUGCCGGGAUAGAAUCCGGAUACGCUUCACUGAUUGUUUUAAGUUCAAAUAGUUGAGGUUCUUUCAGAAAAUCCAACGUAUGCGGCAACUGUUAGAAGUUGCUGUCGCAUGAAAUGAUUCCGUCAUCGAUCACUGCACGAUGUCAGCUUACCCGAUCACAAGUCAGCCCACCCACAUCAGCUUACUGGCCACCAACUUGAACUGCUCAAUGAAUGAGUAACAUAUGUUUGAAACGGUCGUGUGUAGGUACUCUGAAUUCUGAGUUCUCGAAAAAUUAGAAGUGGGAUGCUGGAAUGCUCGGUGGAAGCAGCUCUGGAACAAGCGUAUACGCUCUAUAGUGUUGAUCUGCUGCUGGGUGUUUCUAAGGCAGACGAAAAAAGCGAGGACGAACGCAAAGAUUCUUUUUGGAACAAGUCAUUGAUCCUGAAAUUGUAAAAGUUCGGCGCCGAUUAUGCACACUUCUGCUAUAGAUACAAUGUUUCAUUUCGAAGAAGUUGGAACCACCCAUCGCAUUCUUUACCUUCGUAAUGUAAGCAAGCGCAUCAUGAGGGUAUGAUUUCCUGGAUAGUAUGGUGGACAUUAUAGCUACAGUCCUGGCUACAGUGCUUCAUUGUAAUCAACUCAAAAGUCUACAUCUCGUUCGAACAACCACUGGGAUCCUGAAUGAAUCGAACUACAUACCAGUUGACACGGAAGCAAGCCAUUGCAAAGCUAUCUCAAUCAGGCUGUUCAUCGGGUCCCGGAUGAUUCGAUUAGGGAGGUCCAAACAGCGGAGUGGGCUGUGAGACUGCAAGGUGUUUUGAGUGGUGGUGCAGCAAGCCAGAACUCAUCUGCCCAGCCUUCAACCCAGCAGGUGCGUAAUGGUGGUUCAGCGGAUCCAAGUGGCUGUCCAAGCGGGAUCAAUCUGUUGCUGAAUAACAUAAAGGAUUUUAGCGCUUGCAAUGAUCAAAUGUCGAUGAUUCCGGAAAUGGAAUUAGGUACACCACCAUGGCCCUGGAGGUUUGCGGUAUCGGUACCGGUUUUGGUAGUCAACAAUCUCGUCUGAACUAGUGGAAGUUGCCCAUCAUCGACAUGAAUUUGUGAUACGAUGUUACUGAUUUUUCACCUGCAUCUGGAACGACGGCAAUAUCGACACCUUUCCCUACUGGAUCAAACAUAAGCGGUUUACGUGGUUUACAAUGUGGUAAGCUCGGUGGUAACCGAGCUUAUAGCACCUGGUCCACCUGUCGUGGAGGAAUUGGAGGUGGGUGACCAGAUUCCUCGGCUGAUACUGCCAGUAAACACCUGGUUCAUCUGUCGUGGAGGAAUUGGAGGUGGAUGACCAGAUUCCUCGGCCGAUACUAUACCAUUAAAUAUUGACCCGCUAUUCAACAUUCUUCCACGGAACGAAUCCCGAGUUUAAACUUCGAAUAUUGAGAAAGUUUCAAAUCAAUAAUCCGUUGUUUUUCUCUGGGAACUAAAAUGUAUUUGCAUUUUGAAUUUUAGGUAAUUUUGAAUGAAAAUGAUAAUAAAAUUAAGGAUGUAUAGAAACUAUA